UUGAGUUAUGCUGUCUAUGAUUGCGUGUGUGUGUGUUUAUAUGUGUGUGUAAGCAUUUACACAUGAUGUGGGGAUGUAUGCAUUUGUUGUCGCAUUCUCAAGAACGAAUUCGAUUUCUGAAAUUUGCUCAGCGCUGUUUAUUUGGCUGCUCUGAUGCUCCGCCUGGCUGGAGGCGGAGACGACAUUGUACUAGUCCAAGAACCUUGGGUGAUUGGAGGAAAGGUUUGCGGACUAGGCAACAAAGACUAUAAGCUUUUAGUAGCUGGCAAUGAAGCAAUGCUGACAACAGAGCGGUAAGCCUGGAGCUCCAGUCAGCUCCGGUAAGGCUACUGCCUGCCUAUAUGGCCUACGACAGCGCCGGCCCGCCACCAGACGAGAUUACAAGGUCCCUCGUCCAGGAGUGCGAGAAGCACAGGAUUGGCCUAAUUAUUGGCUGCGACGCCAAUGCUCACACCACACACAGUGGGGGAGUACGGAUACAAAUCCUUCAUCCUUAAUACUAACCUCCUAGUAUGUAAAACGGGUAAUGAACUCGCAUUCAUUAUAAAAAAUAGACGAGAGGUCAUUGACCUGACACUCAUCUCACAAUCUAUGAGUGACCAGUUAACAAAUUGGAGAGUGUCCGAUGAACACUCCUUCUCUGAUCACAGGUACAUAGAAUUCGAACUUCUCGCGAGCCACCCAGAACCAGUUCACUUCCCAAAUCAGAAGAAGACGAACUGGGAAAUCUUCAAAGCCAAACUUGACCGAACCCUUUCGGAACACCCACCAAAAGACCCGGACAACUUAGCUUAUCUCUGCAAUCUUACAGAGACUUUCACUUUAGCAUGCAACAAGGCUUUUAAGGCAGCCUGCCCUAUUAGUAAGUCAAUGCACAAGAAGAAACCACCAUGGUGGACACCUCAACUAAAUGUCCUUCGACAAAGUUGCAGGUCUUUCUUCAAUGUGGUGAAAGCGCAAAAUAACGACCUACAAUAGUCUAAAUACAAAUCAAGUCUGGCUGAAUACAAAAAAAACCACCAGACGGGAAAAAAGGAAAUCUUGGAGAGUUUCUGCACAGAUAUUGAUUCAACUAAUGAAGCUGCAAGGCUUAGAAAAGUUUUAUCAAAAACUACACCCACACUAGGUUAUCUGAAAAAGGAUGACAACUCUUGGUCGGCCUCCAGUGAAGAGUCACUGAAUAUCCUCCUUAAAACACACUUCCCUGGCUGCUCCGAGCAGUCCCCGAGAUGCGCAGAAACCAACUGUAUAGAGAGCGCAUCUUUAAAGUCUCUUAUAAACACAGGUAACAUUAAAUGGGCAGUAAACAGCUUCAACUACAAAAGGCGUGCAAUACAGCCAUAAACUGGCUACACGAAAUCUUCGGGAAGAUUCUGAAGACUGGUCGCAUCCCACCGACAUGGCUGCAGUCUAAAAUAACCUUCAUACCCAAAGCUGGGAAGGCAUCGCACACCAGCGCCAAAGAUUUCAGAGCCAUCAGUCUGUCAUCUUUCAUGCUAAAGACCCUGGAACGUCUUAUAAGUCUCCAUCUCACAGCAUCCAUUGACCUCAGGCUUAUGUCGGAGUCCCAACAUGCCUACAGGAAGGGCAGAUCCACGAAUACUGCCCCUGGAUCCCAUAACCUAACCUAACCUACAUAUUAAAGUUAUUUAUCAAUUUAAA
This is a long non-coding RNA of Drosophila grimshawi, 1662 nucleotides long. RefSeq lists it as uncharacterized. Lineage: Eukaryota; Metazoa; Arthropoda; Insecta; Diptera; Drosophilidae. The record is from RefSeq and is a predicted model, not a curated record. The transcript has 3 exons.